This 773-nucleotide ribosomal RNA is filed under the name uncultured Neocallimastigales. RNAcentral describes it as "partial large subunit ribosomal RNA". It matches the Rfam family "Eukaryotic large subunit ribosomal RNA", at positions 24 to 635 of the family's 3401-position model. The record is from RNAcentral. Lineage: Eukaryota; Fungi; Neocallimastigomycota; Neocallimastigomycetes; Neocallimastigales.
CCAUCUGUGCAUGCAGCAUAUCAUAAGCGGAGGAAAAGAAACUAACAAGGAUUCCCCUAGUAACGGCGAGUGAAGCGGGAAGAGCUCAAAUUUGAAAUCUUAAAGGGUUUCCCUUUACGAAUUGUAGUUUAAAGAAGUGUUUUCUGUUGAGGUUUUGGUAAAAGUUCUUUGGAAUAGGACAUCAUAGAGGGUGAGAAUCCCGUAUUUGACCUUUACUUUCAACUUUGUGAUACACAUUCAAAGAGUCGGAUUGUUUGGGAAUGCAGUCCAAAAUGGGUAGGUAAAUUUCAUCUAAAGCUAAAUAUUGGCGAGAGACCGAUAGCGAACAAGUACCGUGAGGGAAAGAUGAAAAGAACUUUGAAAAGAGAGUUAAACAGUACGUGAAAUUGUCAAAAGGGAAGCGUUUGACACCAGUGUUGUUUUUCUGAAAAUCAAUUAAAGAACUGUUUAUGCUAAGCUGUUUAGACUUUAUCAGCUAACUGUUUAGUUUUGAGCUUUUCUUUAAUGCACUUUUCAGUUAACAAGUCAACAUCAAUUUCUUUUGCUGUAAAAAAGCUUGAGGAAGGUGGCUUGAGAUUCGUCUUAAGUGUUUAUAGCCUCUUGCCUAUGCAGUCGGAGAGAUUGAGGUCUGCAGCGUAGAUCCUUCGGGGCUAAAUGCAUUUGUGCUAAGUUAUAGCAUUUUAUAGACAACUUGUUGACUAUGAUUUGUCUUGUAGCUUACUCGCUUAUGUUAUUUUACCUACGCUUAGGAUGUUGAACGCGCACAGAGUCUC